ACAACAGAAUCCAGAACAGGAAACCGUUCCAAAUGCUUAGCCCUGUGCAAAGCUGGUUCCUUCUCGCCAACCGGACUAGAGCCUUGUUUUGUAUGUGACAAAGGGCUUUAUCAGGAAAUGGAGGGAGAGCGCCAUUGCUUAAAAUGCGGUGUCAACGAAACAACUCCUUCUGAAGGAUCCAACAAUUCUAUGCAAUGUGGAGGGAUUGAUUUUUCAACCAUAUGUCAAGUCAUCAGAAAAAGCGCCUAUUUACAAAAGUCGUGUUCGACUGAUAUGUACGUACCUGCGGUAAAAAUAGAAACCAGCUGCAGUCAAAGCAACCAAAAUAAUUACAGCGACAAGAAGUCCGACGAUGAGGCCAGUGUCAGUAUCUUCCUUGGUGGAAUCAGGUUCUGUUGAGCAACAGAGACAGUCCCGUUAACUAGAACUAGGUGAAGACCAACUCGAGGGUGACAAAACUCCAUAAACUGACCACUAUGGGUGCUGGCGAGGAGAAUGUCCACCAUGUCAGUCUGGCCAACGAUCUUGAGGAUACCAGAUACCCGAUGAUCCGCAAACCCAAACGCUAGGCGAGAAAUUUUUGUCAAAAUCAAACCGGCUAUUGCAAGACGGUGAACACAUCUUUCCAAACAUCCAGUCAUCACAAGGCUUGGCUCCGUUGAUAGGAGGUCUCAGGUACUUACAUGGUUUUGCUGAGAAAGGAAAUGCACAGUUUACUUAUUCUUUAUUUCCUUACUUUUUUCUUCAUGUUUUAGAAGCAAUUCAAGUGAUAUAAAAAAGCUAGUGACGAUUGAUCUAAAAAAAUAAUUGGAUGUGGGUAUAAUUUUUGGACAUUGGCUCGUAUUCCGUAGUGGUAAAAGUUCUGUAAACAGAAAAAAAAAAAAGAACGAUUGCAAACGUUGCCCCAUAGAGUGUUAUGCUGUUGACGCCAAGUUCUCUCCUAGAAUGGUAUUUUGUAAAAUUACUCAAAGGUCUUAGAAAUGUUUUUGAUAUUUAACUAGACACGUUACUGAUAAUGAUAAAAUGACUUUCUAAACUGUAUUUUCAGGUUUCUCUGGGGUUUGUGUUUUUCACGAUCAAAUUUAAGAUUAGCGAAGUUUGUAUGUUUCUCUUUUUUUCUAAGAAGCGCACUAUUUUACUUUAAUAGAGUUACCUAAAGUACUCAUGUUGUUAACUUAUUCAUAGUACCAAGGGAUCAUCAAAAUACAUUUAGUUAUCAUUUCUUGCAAUAAUUUUAUCUUAAUCUUUUGUUUUUAACUUGGAUUCACGGAGAAAAUGGACAAGCGAAUUUUGAAUUCUCAAGCAGAAGCAAUUGAGAAAGUCGUAGCUGAAAAUAAAGAUUUUCUAAUAUCAAGUAUCUUAAAGGAAACCUGUCAGGAACACAAAACCAAGUAAAACUUAUCAACUUGAUUGAGGCGCUACGCGCGGCUGAGUUUUAAAACGUUGCG
This is a long non-coding RNA of Stylophora pistillata, 1448 nucleotides long. NCBI's taxonomy places the organism in Eukaryota, Metazoa, Cnidaria, Anthozoa, Scleractinia, Pocilloporidae. The record is from RefSeq and is a predicted model, not a curated record.